Molecule: ribosomal RNA, 491 nt
Filed under: uncultured bacterium
Lineage: Bacteria
Description: partial 16S ribosomal RNA
Rfam family: Bacterial small subunit ribosomal RNA
Source: RNAcentral
GUGCACGCUGGCGGUAGGCCUCACCCCUGCCAGUCGAACGGCAGCACAGUAAGAGCUUGCUCUUACGGGUGGCGAGUGGCGGACGGGUGAGGAAUACAUCGGAAUCUACUUUUUCGUGGGGGAUAACGCAGGGAAACUUACGCUAAUACCGCAUACGACCUACGGGUGAAAGCAGGGGAUCUUCGGACCUUGCGCGAUUGAAUGAGCCGAUGUCGGAUUAGCUAGUUGGCGGGGUAAAGGCCCACCAAGGCGACGAUCCGUAGCUGGUCUGAGAGGAUGAUCAGCCACACUGGAACUGAGACACGGUCCAGACUCCUACGGGAGGCAGCAGUGGGGAAUAUUGGACAAUGGGCGCAAGCCUGAUCCAGCCAUACCGCGUGGGUGAAGAAGGCCUUCGGGUUGUAAAGCCCUUUUGUUGGGAAAGAAAAGCAGCAGGUUAAUACCCCGCUGUUCUGACGGUACCCAAAGAAUAAGCACCGGCUAACUUCGUG